UACGUAGGGGGCGAGCGUUGUCCGAAGUUACUGGGCGUAAAGCGUGCGCAGGCGGUGAUGUAAGCCAGGUGUGAAAUCCCCGGGCUUAACCUGGGAACUGCAUUUGUGACUGCAUCGCUGGAGUGCGGCAGAGGGGGAUGGAAUUCCGCGUGUAGCAGUGAAAUGCGUAGAUAUGCGGAGGAACACCGAUGGCGAAGGCAAUCCCCUGGGCCUGCACUGACGCUCAUGCACGAAAGCGUGGGGAGCAAACAGG
RNAcentral lists this ribosomal RNA (253 nucleotides) under uncultured bacterium. RNAcentral's name for it is "partial 16S ribosomal RNA". It matches the Rfam family "Bacterial small subunit ribosomal RNA", at positions 524 to 776 of the family's 1533-position model. The record is from RNAcentral.